CUCAGUAACACGUGGCCAAACUACCCUUCGGAACGCAAUACCCUCGGGAAACUGAGGCUAAUAGUGUAUAUCAUUCCACCGCUGGAAUGAGUGGUAUGCCAAACGCUCCGGCGCCGAAGGAUGUGGCUGCGGCCGAUUAGGUAGAUGGUGGGGUAACGGCCCACCGUGCCAAUAAUCGGUAUGGGUCAUGAGAGUGAGAACCCGGAGACGGAAUCUGAGACAAGAUUCCGGGCCCUACGGGGCGCAGCAGGCGCGAAACCUUUACACUGCACGACAGUGCGAUAGGGG
RNAcentral lists this ribosomal RNA (288 nucleotides) under halophilic archaeon. Its description in RNAcentral is "partial 16S ribosomal RNA". It matches the Rfam family "Archaeal small subunit ribosomal RNA", at positions 89 to 376 of the family's 1478-position model. Lineage: Archaea; Methanobacteriati; Methanobacteriota; Halobacteria; Halobacteriales. The record is from RNAcentral.